UACGAAGGGGGCUAGCGUUGCUCGGAAUCACUGGGCGUAAAGGGUGCGUAGGCGGGUCUUUAAGUCAGGGGGGAAAUCCUGGAGCUCAACUCCAGAACUGCCUUUGAUACUGAAGAUCUUGAGUUCGGGAGAGGUGAGUGGAACUGCGAGUGUAGAGGUGAAAUUCGUAGAUAUUCGCAAGAACACCAGUGGCGAAGGCGGCUCUUUGGCCUGUAACUGACGCUGAGGCGCGAAAGCGUGGGGAGCAAACAGG
Molecule: ribosomal RNA, 253 nt
Filed under: uncultured bacterium
Lineage: Bacteria
Description: partial 16S ribosomal RNA
Rfam family: Bacterial small subunit ribosomal RNA
Source: RNAcentral